CCGCCAGCCCUACCAUGCCAGUCGAACGGUAACAGGAUAGCUUGCUAUCGCUGACGAGUGGCGGACGGGUGAGUAAUACUUAGGGAUCUGCCUCUGUGUGGGGGAUAACUAUUGGAAACGAUAGCUAAUACCGCAUAAUGUCUACGGACCAAAGCGGGCUUCGGCUCGUGCGCAGAGAGGAACCUAAGCGAGAUUAGCUAGUUGGUGAGGUAAAGGCUCACCAAGGCGACGAUCUCUAGCUGUUCUGAGAGGAAGAUCAGCCACACUGGAACUGAGACACGGUCCAGACUCCUACGGGAGGCAGCAGUGGGGAAUAUUGCACAAUGGGGGAAACCCUGAUGCAGCCAUGCCGCGUGUGUGAAGAAGGCCUUCGGGUUGUAAAGCACUUUCAGUUGUGAGGAAAGUUUAGUAGUUAAUACCUGCUAGAUGUGACGUUAGCAACAGAAGAAGCACCGGCUAACUCCGUGCCAGCAGCCGCGGUAAUACGGAGGGUGCGAGCGUUAAUCGGAAUUACUGGGCGUAAAGCGCACGCAGGCGGUCUGUUAAGCUAGAUGUGAAAGCCCCGCGCUCAACGUGGGAGGGUCAUUUAGAACUGGCAGACUAGAGUCUUGGAGAGGGGAGUGGAAUUCCAGGUGUAGCGGUGAAAUGCGUAGAGAUCUGGAGGAACAUCAAUGGCGAAGGCAACUCCCUGGCCAAAGACUAACGCUCAUGUGCGAAAGUGUGGGUAGCGAACAGGAUUAGAUACCCUGGUAGUCCACACCGUAAACGCUGUCUACUAGCUGUUUGUGAAUUU
RNAcentral lists this ribosomal RNA (793 nucleotides) under uncultured bacterium. RNAcentral's name for it is "bacterial SSU rRNA". It matches the Rfam family "Bacterial small subunit ribosomal RNA", at positions 40 to 833 of the family's 1533-position model. The record is from RNAcentral.